AAAGGCCACUAUUUACUAUAGAUCAAUUUAGUAGACAUUACACAGAGAAAAAACCUAAUUUUCUAUAUUCAUUUCUACAUAAUUCAAAAAUCAAAACUUUAAAUCAUUAUUAGCAUCAUAAUCAUUAGUAGGAUAUGUAUAAUAAUACCCACUUUCUAUAAUUACUCAAAUAUACAUAAUAAAUUAAGUCAACAUUAAUUGUAAGAUAAUGGAUAUUAAAAGGAAAAAAAAAAGAAGAACAAACAUGCCAAUAUUCGAGAAGAGAAAAUAUUCACAAAUUAAAAAGUCAAGUUCCUUUAUUCAGUAAUUUGUAGCUAAGAAUUAAAAGAGUUUACCCAAAUAGGUUCAUUUACUCGAUAAUCAAUUUCUUUUAAGUCUGACGAAAAGUUCAAGUUCUUAAAAGUUCAAGCUAAAAGGAUAAAUUACAGGAAUUGAGGUAAAGUGACUGCUCCAUUUUUUUGUCCUCCUUCUGUAUGAGUUUGGGUGAAGACUUAUGGACGUGUUAUCAUUAAGAACUUAAGGGAUAACGAGUUCAAUAUUUAGUUGUUGUAACAAACGAAACUUGAGCUUGUUUUGUGGACUGUAUUAUGUGUAUAUGCUGGGGAUUGCCGGAUUGACGUUGGGGAAUAGCAUGAAUAGUUUGUAUUGAAAUAUAGAAGGAAGGGUGUAGUGGUACGCCACCAAACUAGAUGUUGAAUAUGUUUACUGUUUGUUCUACUUUAUACGUUAUUUUGAUAUUGUAACGAAGCUAAAGUUGUUUUAGGGAAUCUUAUAAGAAUAUGUAUGGUAUGUGGAUGUAAUUGGAGGAGAAAAAGGAUUAGAAUAACACCCUUGAUUUGAUAAUUUAUAGGCUUACUGCCGGCUACUAUUUUGGUGAAGUUGAGUAGCCCAAAUGUAUUUGUUAGCUACUAACACUAGUUUUACCAUAUACUUCAUUGUAGAUAAGUAUUCUAAAAUGCAGGACGCUAAUUUGGGUUAAUAUCGAAGUUGUAAAGCAACGUACCAGUUGUUGCCCGCACAUCACGAUCAGACAGUGCAGAUUUCAGCCAGCAGGUGAUGAGUUCUCCUACUUCUGGAACUCCAGACAGUUUUAGUUUAUGUACUGUUCAUUUACUUUCAUGUGUAUUGAUUAGUGGUAGUUGGAGGCAUGUCCCAGCUAUCUAUAGUCAGUAUAGUAGAGACUUCAUAGAUGUCAGUUAGAAUCAGUCAUGUAAUUUUAGUUUUAUCCUUCAGUUUUUAUCAGAUUAUAAACUUUAUCAGAAAUGUAUUUAUUCAGAUUAUGACAUGACUAUGAUUCUGCACGGCAAAACUUAUUAUUCAUUUUAUUAUAUUUCAGUUGCUUAACA
Long non-coding RNA from Capsicum annuum, 1346 nucleotides. RefSeq lists it as uncharacterized. The transcript is spliced from 2 exons. The record is from RefSeq and is a predicted model, not a curated record. Lineage: Eukaryota; Viridiplantae; Streptophyta; Magnoliopsida; Solanales; Solanaceae.